CGCGUAGGCGGCCAACUAAGUCAGACGUGAAAUCCCCUGGCUCAACCAGGGAACUGCGUCUGAUACUGGAUGGCUUGAAUCCGGGAGAGGGAUGUGGAAUUCCAGGUGUAGCGGUGAAAUGCGUAGAUAUCUGGAGGAACACCGGUGGCGAAGGCGGCAUCCUGGACCGGUAUUGACGCUGAGGCGCGAAAGCCAGGGAGCAAACG
RNAcentral lists this ribosomal RNA (206 nucleotides) under uncultured bacterium. RNAcentral's name for it is "partial 16S ribosomal RNA". It matches the Rfam family "Bacterial small subunit ribosomal RNA", at positions 568 to 774 of the family's 1533-position model. The record is from RNAcentral.